Molecule: ribosomal RNA, 516 nt
Filed under: Qipengyuania citrea
Lineage: Bacteria; Pseudomonadati; Pseudomonadota; Alphaproteobacteria; Sphingomonadales; Erythrobacteraceae
Description: bacterial SSU rRNA
Rfam family: Bacterial small subunit ribosomal RNA
Source: RNAcentral
AAUAACAGUUAGAAAUGACUGCUAAUACCGGAUAAUGUCUUCGGACCAAAGAUUUAUUGCCUUUAGAUGGGCCCGCGUUGGAUUAGAUAGUUGGUGGGGUAAUGGCCUACCAAGUCGACGAUCCAUAGCUGGUCUGAGAGGAUGAUCAGCCACACUGGGACUGAGACACGGCCCAGACUCCUACGGGAGGCAGCAGUGGGGAAUAUUGGACAAUGGGCGAAAGCCUGAUCCAGCAAUGCCGCGUGAGUGAUGAAGGCCUUAGGGUUGUAAAGCUCUUUUACCAGGGAUGAUAAUGACAGUACCUGGAGAAUAAGCUCCGGCUAACUCCGUGCCAGCAGCCGCGGUAAUACGGAGGGAGCUAGCGUUGUUCGGAAUUACUGGGCGUAAAGCGCACGUAGGCGGCUUUUCAAGUCAGGGGUGAAAUCCCGGGGCUCAACCCCGGAACUGCCCUUGAAACUGGAUGGCUAGAAUACUGGAGAGGUGAGUGGAAUUCCGAGUGUACAGGUGAAAUUCGUA